Molecule: ribosomal RNA, 1018 nt
Filed under: Klebsiella aerogenes
Lineage: Bacteria; Pseudomonadati; Pseudomonadota; Gammaproteobacteria; Enterobacterales; Enterobacteriaceae
Description: bacterial SSU rRNA
Rfam family: Bacterial small subunit ribosomal RNA
Source: RNAcentral
UGAUCGAGCGGUAGCACAGAGAGCUUGCUCUCGGGUGACGAGCGGCGGACGGGUGAGUAAUGUCUGGGAAACUGCCUGAUGGAGGGGGAUAACUACUGGAAACGGUAGCUAAUACCGCAUAACGUCGCAAGACCAAAGUGGGGGACCUUCGGGCCUCAUGCCAUCAGAUGUGCCCAGAUGGGAUUAGCUAGUAGGUGGGGUAAUGGCUCACCUAGGCGACGAUCCCUAGCUGGUCUGAGAGGAUGACCAGCCACACUGGAACUGAGACACGGUCCAGACUCCUACGGGAGGCAGCAGUGGGGAAUAUUGCACAAUGGGCGCAAGCCUGAUGCAGCCAUGCCGCGUGUAUGAAGAAGGCCUUCGGGUUGUAAAGUACUUUCAGCGAGGAGGAAGGCGUUAAGGUUAAUAACCUUGGCGAUUGACGUUACUCGCAGAAGAAGCACCGGCUAACUCCGUGCCAGCAGCCGCGGUAAUACGGAGGGUGCAAGCGUUAAUCGGAAUUACUGGGCGUAAAGCGCACGCAGGCGGUCUGUCAAGUCGGAUGUGAAAUCCCCGGGCUCAACCUGGGAACUGCAUUCGAAACUGGCAGGCUAGAGUCUUGUAGAGGGGGGUAGAAUUCCAGGUGUAGCGGUGAAAUGCGUAGAGAUCUGGAGGAAUACCGGUGGCGAACGCGGCCCCCUGGACAAAGACUGACGCUCAGGUGCGAAAGCGUGGGGAGCAAACAGGAUUAGAUACCCUGGUAGUCCACGCCGUAACGAUGUCGACUUGGAGGUUGUGCCCUUGAGGCGUGGCUUCCGGAGCUAACGCGUUAAGUCGACCGCCUGGGGAGUACGCCGCAAGGUUAAAACUCAAUGAAUUGACGGGGGCCCGCACAAGCGGUGGAGCAUGUGGUUUAAUUCGAUGCAACGCGAGACCUUACCUACUCUUGACAUCCAGAGACUUAGCAGAGAUGCUUUGGUGCCUUCGGAACUCUGAGACAGUGCUGCAUGGCUGUCGUCAGCCUCGUGUUGUGAAAUGU